This 143-nucleotide small nucleolar RNA is filed under the name Oryzias latipes (Japanese medaka). Lineage: Eukaryota; Metazoa; Chordata; Actinopteri; Beloniformes; Adrianichthyidae. The record is from RNAcentral.
UUUUCUGAUCAACCUGCCAUUGAAGCUCUUUAUUGGCUAAACACACCUGAUCCAGGUGAUCAGCAGCAGAUGAGGCAGGAUUUCUGAAAAACUAGCAGGAGGUCCGCCCUCCAGGCCUGGAGUUUGACACCCCUGCUCUAAAA